Mustela erminea (ermine) is the source of this 364-nucleotide long non-coding RNA. RefSeq lists it as uncharacterized. Lineage: Eukaryota; Metazoa; Chordata; Mammalia; Carnivora; Mustelidae. The record is from RefSeq and is a predicted model, not a curated record. The transcript is spliced from 3 exons.
UGUGAGAAUUCUGUUCUUUUCCAACGUGGACACAAUGGCUGUUAUAAUAAUAAAAUCCGUAACCUUAUCGUGGCCCCUGUGCUUUGCAUAGUCUGUUAUGGCCUUAUAAUACCCAAAUAUCCAUCAAAGUAGGAGAAGGAGUUUUACAUAAUAAAUGUAGAGAGAAUGUAAAAUUGAAUUUUGGUGGAAAGAGCUUGAUCAAAAGUACAGUAACUAUUAAAAUGCCUGCCCACUUGACAGAUGAGAAAACUGAGGAUCAGAGGAGUUAAGGCAUUUGCCAAAAGCCAUACAGUUUGCUAAUAGCUGAACUGAUCUCUCAAUCCAAGUGUGCCUGGAAAUUCUGUCAUUUCAGUCAUACCUACAU